This is a non-coding RNA of Salvelinus sp. IW2-2015, 868 nucleotides long. Lineage: Eukaryota; Metazoa; Chordata; Actinopteri; Salmoniformes; Salmonidae. The record is from RefSeq and is a predicted model, not a curated record.
CAUCAGACUGGAGGAGUGUUCCAGCUCAGACAGUAACAGGACAGGGAAGGACAUCAGACUGGAGGAGUGUUCCAGCUCAGACAGGUAACAGGACAGGGAAGGACAUCAAACUGGGGGAGUGUUCCAGCUCAGACAGGUAACAGGACAGGGAAGACAUCAGACUGGAGGAGUGUUCCAGCUCAGACAGUAACAGGACAGGGAAGGACAUCAGACUGGAGGAGUGUUCCAGCUCAGACAGGUAACGGACAGGGAAGGACAUCGGUACUGGAGGAGUGUUCCAGCUCAGACAGGGUCACUCGCGCAGGCUGCAGGUGUGUGUGAAGCAGGUCAGGACUCUGGGACUCUGCCUCUGCUGGUGGAGGCUGUUCUGUCUGUCUCUAUCGGCUGUGUGUCAGCACGCUCCACCAAGCUACAGAGAGCCCUGGACAGCUACCAGUUUUCAGAUGGAGGAUCCUCAGGCUAUCAUGUCAAAGCUGUCUGGUGUAGGGAAAGAAAGGAGCCAGUCAUCAAUUAUUCCACUGGYGGGAGACAUCUGUAGAAUGACGGAACCAUAGAAAUAUAUUCAUCUGCUAUGUAGAAAAGUCAACAUAUUUUUCUGUUGUGUAUCAAUCGAAUCCAUUGAGUGAUCUGAUUAGGCUGUCCUCUAGUUGGACWACAAUUUUUCACCUUAAGUUGACUACAGCGUUUCCGCUGCAGCCAUUUUAGCUGUGGCGCUYCGCCACACCAAAAUCGUUGCUGCCACGCCCCCCAAAAAAAUAUGUAACAUAAAACAAAUAUUUCUGCUGAGGCGAACUUUGAAGAGGCUAGAACAUUCUACAUUCACUUUUCCUCUUCAAGCAAAACGAGUCAUGAAUAGAAUCUAUGUACA